Molecule: ribosomal RNA, 460 nt
Filed under: uncultured bacterium
Lineage: Bacteria
Description: partial 16S ribosomal RNA
Rfam family: Bacterial small subunit ribosomal RNA
Source: RNAcentral
CCUACGGGUGGCAGCAGUGAGGAAUAUUGGUCAAUGGACGCAAGUCUGAACCAGCCAUGCCGCGUGCAGGAAGACGGCUCUAUGAGUUGUAAACUGCUUUUGUACGAGGGUAAACUCAGAUACGCGUAUCUGUCUGAAUGGAUCGUACGAAUAAGGAUCGGCUAACUCCGUGCCAGCAGCCGCGGCAAUACGGAGGAUUCAAGCGUUAUUCGGAUUUAUUGGGUUUAAAGGGUGCGUAGGCGGUCGGUUAAGUCAGGGGUGAAAUCCCGAGGCUCAACUUCGGAAUUGCCUCUGAUACUGUUAGGCUAGAGAGUAGUUGAGGUAGGCGGAAUUUAUGGUGUAGCGGUGAAAUGCUUAGAGAUCAUACAGAACACCGAUUGCGAAGGCAGCUUACCAAGCUACUUCUGACGCUGAGGCACGAAAGCGUGGGGAGCAAACAGGAUUAGAUACCCUAGUAGUC